This 74-nucleotide transfer RNA is filed under the name Cytophagaceae bacterium. RNAcentral's name for it is "tRNA-Pro". It matches the Rfam family "tRNA". Rfam says of the family: Transfer RNA (tRNA) molecules are approximately 80 nucleotides in length. Their secondary structure includes four short double-helical elements and three loops (D, anti-codon, and T loops). Lineage: Bacteria; Pseudomonadati; Bacteroidota; Cytophagia; Cytophagales; Cytophagaceae. The record is from RNAcentral.
CGGGGUGUAGCGCAGUCAGGUAGCGCGCCACGUUCGGGACGUGGAGGCCGUGGGUUCGAAUCCCGCCACCCCGA